CAGCAUUGCCUAGUACGGCGAGUGAAGCGGCAACAGCUCAAAUUUGAAAUCUGGCUCUCGGGCCCGAGUUGUAAUUUGUAGAGGAUGACUUUGAUGCGGUGCCUUCCGAGUUCCCUGGAACGGGACGCCAUAGAGGGUGAGAGCCCCGUCUGGUUGGAUGCCAAAUCUCUGUAAGUCUCCUUCGACGAGUCGAGUAGUUUGGGAAUGCUGCUCUAAAUGGGAGGUAUAUGUCUUCUAAAGCUAAAUACCGGCCAGAGACCGAUAGCGCACAAGUAGAGUGAUCGAAAGAUGAAAAGCACUUUGAAAAGAGAGUUAAAAAGUACGUGAAAUUGUUGAAAGGGAAGCGUUUAUGACCAGACUUGGGCUUGGUUAAUCAUCUGGGGUUCUCCCCAGUGCACUUUUCCAGUUCAGGCCAGCAUCAGUUUUCGCCGGGGGAUAAAGACUUCGGGAAUGUGGCUCCUCUCGGGGAGUGUUAUAGCCCGUUGUGUAAUACCCUGGCGGGGACUGAGGUUCGCGCUUCUGCAAGGAUGCUGGCGUAAUGGUCAUCAACGACCCGUCUUGAAACCACGGACCA
This 574-nucleotide ribosomal RNA is filed under the name Fusarium sporotrichioides. RNAcentral describes it as "partial large subunit ribosomal RNA". It matches the Rfam family "Eukaryotic large subunit ribosomal RNA", at positions 70 to 668 of the family's 3401-position model. RNAcentral also lists the same sequence under 1 other name. The record is from RNAcentral. Lineage: Eukaryota; Fungi; Ascomycota; Sordariomycetes; Hypocreales; Nectriaceae.